AGGAAAACGCAGGAAGGAAAAAGUCGCCCGUGUCAGGUGCUCGCUCAGAGAGUGAGCAACUCUGAAACUGUGUCAAAAGAAAGGUCUAGGACGAGUCCCUAGGAAGAAAAUGCUGUAAUGAACAUGAAUGCCAAGUUGCAGAAGCCAGCCCCAUUCACAUGCCAUUUCCCA
Molecule: long non-coding RNA, 171 nt
Filed under: Canis lupus familiaris (dog)
Lineage: Eukaryota; Metazoa; Chordata; Mammalia; Carnivora; Canidae
Description: lncRNA (ENSCAFG00030003790.1)
Source: RNAcentral